UGGGGAAUAUUGGACAAUGGACCAAGAGUCUGAUCCAGCAAUUCUGUGUGCACGAUGAAGUUUUUCGGAAUGUAAAGUGCUUUCAGUUGGGAAGAAAAAAAUGACGGUACCAACAGAAGAAGUGACGGCUAAAUACGUGCCAGCAGCCGCGGUAAUACGUAUGUCACAAGCGUUAUCCGGAUUUAUUGGGCGUAAAGCGCGUCUAGGUGGUUAUAUAAGUCUGAUGUGAAAAUGCAGGGCUCAACUCUGUAUUGCGUUGGAAACUGUGUAACUAGAGUACUGGAGAGGUAAGCGGAACUACAAGUGUAGAGGUGAAAUUCGUAGAUAUUUGUAGGAAUGCCGAUGGGGAAGCCAGCUUACUGGACAGAUACUGACGCUGAAGCGCGAAAGCGUGGGUAGCAAACAGG
This 407-nucleotide ribosomal RNA is filed under the name uncultured Fusobacterium sp. RNAcentral's name for it is "bacterial SSU rRNA". It matches the Rfam family "Bacterial small subunit ribosomal RNA", at positions 355 to 776 of the family's 1533-position model. Lineage: Bacteria; Fusobacteriati; Fusobacteriota; Fusobacteriia; Fusobacteriales; Fusobacteriaceae. The record is from RNAcentral.